AUGAAGAAAAAAGAUAGUGAGGAAAAGAAAAGGAAGGCCCUAGAGGAAAAACUAGCCAUGGCAGACAAAAGAAGAGAAGCUAUGGAGGAAAAGAAAAGAAUAGCAGAAGAGGCAAAAAGAAAAAGAGCAGAAGAGAAGAGGAGGAUAGCUAAGGAGAAGAAGAGACUUUGUAGGACUGCAUAUGAUGCAAAGGAGGCAAUGUUCCUUAUAAAUCAAGAUGAAGAGUUGGAAAGAAGGCAAUUAUUUCUCCAAACACAGGAGGCAUCAAGACAGGAAGCUUGGAAGCACAACAGAAAUCAAGAGGAAGAAACAAGAGUUGAGGCAUGUUUGCAUGAGAGAAACAAGAAGGAAACCCAACAAACAAGAGAAGCAAUGGCAGAGGAACAUAUGAUGACUGCAUGUUAG
RNAcentral lists this ribosomal RNA (405 nucleotides) under Triticum aestivum (bread wheat). RNAcentral's name for it is "partial small subunit ribosomal RNA". Lineage: Eukaryota; Viridiplantae; Streptophyta; Magnoliopsida; Poales; Poaceae. The record is from RNAcentral.